GUAAGUAUAGGCACAGAAAAUCACUCCAGCUCCUUGCUGCUGCCGCACUCUGUGGUGUCGCUGUGCUGCAGUACACAGCAGCUCAACUUUGCAUAACAAGAAAUCAUCGCAUUAUGUUCUUUAUGGUACCAUGCACGGAGUCUGUGUUUGUUUUAAGGAUGGAGAGGGUGCGUAAUAGCAGCUCCAGGCUGAUAACACGCUGCCACGUCGCACCCAGGCACAAACUCCCAGCACAGCUACUCACCAGCCAAAAGGGUUUUGACAUUGGCUCUUCAAACUUAGAAGCGUUGAAACACUGGAAGGAAAACAAGUGCUGAGCUGAAAAAUGUGGUUCUGACGCAGUCAGUCAAGCCAGCAGACCCUGGGCUGGGAAUAGUUCCUCAGCCUGGUCCCUUCCCACCACCGGCAGUCCCUCUUCCUGUGCAUCCAAGGAGAUGCUCCUUGCAGGCAGCCAACCCUCUUAUCACUGCUGACACCACACUCAUGGACUGCAUGUUUACCAGCGUGGAGUGCUGGCAGGAGUGAAAACUCCAGGCAUUGAAUCUGGAUUGACCGGGCUGUAAUUCCCUCGAUCCCUUUUCUUAAGGAUAAGCACUCUUCUCCCUUCCUCAUCCUCUGGGACACCCAGGAGCUCUUGAAGAUAAUCACCGAUGUCAGUGAUUGCUGCCGCCUGUUCCCACGUUCGCCUGGGUCUGCACACAGGAUUACCUGCUCAGCUGAAGCUCCUUGGUGCUUUUCUAAUCCAGAGCUGUAUGCCUCCUCUCUGCACUCCCCUUCUUCAGCCCACUGCAAUCCUGAGCACUGCCUUGUGCUCUUCUGCCCCAGAACUGAGAGGCACAACAUCCAAAGCAGCUGCGGGAAACAGGGCAGAGCUCUCCCGUUCACGCAGACUGAGCAACUCAUCCUCCACAGAUGGAUCCUGGGGGUUUCAAUGCUGGGAAGGAAUGGGAGGACCCCAGCACCCCGCUGCUCCACGUGUGACCCCCCAGCUCCCACCUCUGGGUCCAUGGCAGCGAGCACACUGCUGGGCAAGGAGAUUCCAGGGCUUCCUCAAUUCCAAGAGGAUUUCCCAAGCCCAGGAAAGUAUGUUAAUAUCAAGGGAGGAAAGAACAGUCUAUGAAUGCCAGUGAUCACAACUGACCACUGACAACAGGAGGUGAUGCAUCUCAGUCUCUUGUUCUUAUUCUUAUUUUUGCAGCACUCUGACCACUACGCCUUCUUAGCAGCUACCAUUUCAAAAGAUGCAGCUCUGAAGUCCUGGAGGAAUUAUUACAUGUACAACUUAAUUAGUAUUUAAAUGGGUACCAUAUGUCUUAUUGAUUUGAUAGUGUAGUUGUUUCCAAUAGAUCAGGCAAAAAAUAAGGAAAUAAAUGUCAAUAGCUGCAAGUAGGAGUUCCGGCAGGAAGAAAGGAGCCUUAAAAGUGCCUGGUUCAAGAACCUGUGCAAAUCUGAGCUGCAAAUGGAGUGGGAGCACAGUGUAAUUUUAGUGCUCCUUUUCACACUGCAACAGCAACCGGCAGCGAUUACUUUUGGCAUUUUCCUGCAUAAUGAUGUGUUGGUGAUGAAGCAUUGAAGUAAAUAUCUUACGAGAUUUUUUUUUUUAAUUACUUUCUUGGCAGAGAUUGCUAAAGCACCAAGGAACUUUUGCAAAUUUUCCCUUAAUGGGACAAAUGAGUGAUUAUAGAACAUGUCUUUUAAAUACAAAGUGUAUUUUUGGCUUCUUUGAUUGGUACAAAACCAAGAUCCUGUGCAGCAAUCUCAGUUUCAAUGACACACAAAGAAUAAUAGUUUUGAAAAUAGGCCACACAUAAUAAUAUGAAUUAAAAACCCCCACCAUUAAAAAAAAAAUAAAGAUCAUUAUCCACACACUGUAACCAAGUAAGCAAGCAGGUACCUUAAUGACUAGCCUGCUGUAUAGAGGUUUACAGCAGCUAGAAGUUAUCCUUUUUCUCUGUCAAAUUUGCUCUCCAUUGAACAGAUCUUCAUUGCUUAACUCUUGUGUCCAAAACUCCCUUGACUUUACUGAAGUUAAUCACAAUACACAUUCCUAUAUCUGAAGAGUAAGUAAAUUUUAGAUAUGGUUUAUUACUGAAGAUAGAACAGGAUCUUUUGAGAUGAAAGCUGAUGAAUAGUCAACACAUAUAAUAUUUACUCUGUAUUCAAACCAGAAAUCUGGCUGGGAGCUCUUUCCAUUCCAGUCAAACAGAGGGAUAACACAGUGCCAUUCUUGCAUCUCCUAGUUUCGAAAGCCAGCUGCCCAGGCAAAGCACCACUACUGACUUUUGUUUGAAAAAGGAAGAAAUGAGCCAAAUAAUUCAGAAAAUAAUUUCGAAAUAAUUACUGCAUCCAAAAGGAGUGACCCUGCACAACAUAGAGAGCAUGAAGAGGUGAAAGUCAUUGAUUACAGCAUUCUCCCCCAUUUGCCACACGAUAUAUGGUGCUGAUACAUAACUUUUAAGGUGUAAAGAGGAUGAUAAACAUUUUCCAGUUGGCUUUUCCUUAUGACAUAGCCUGCAGACCUGCAGCAGGGCAGGUUUCUGCUCUCAGCUUUGAUGUAUGGCACUUUGCACAUCAUCUGACACUGAGCAUUGCAGAUUUGAUAGAGUGCUACAAAUUUCUCCCAGUGUAUAAUCAACUGUUAUUAUUGCAGUUCUAGCCUUUAUCGGAUUAAUUUGAUGGCCUUGUGCUGAUAUUUUCUGUGCAGAUUUCUCAUACAUAUUUGGUGUUGAAUAUAUACACUUCUUCCAAACAGAAUGUCAGAAAGGGAAAGCGGGAGCAUAGAUCUCUGCUGGCAAUUUUCCUAAGCUUUGCUUGAAACAACCAAGUAUAGCAACAUAAAUUUACUUAGGCACUGUACUCAGCAGCGAAAUUCCGAGUGUGGCCGAUAGCGACUGGGGCACGACUUGCUUUUCUGCAUCAUUCCAGGAGGGGCAGCGGAUGCAAAGUAAGCUGUGUUGGUUUGGCGUGCCUCAAACAGUUCAUUCUCUUUGUUAGCUGGCAAGAAGAUUAAAUAACACCUCAAAAAACCAUUUAAACAUGCACAGUAAGAUAUCUUAAAACAUCCAUCAAAACAUGAGUCAUUUCCUGAGAAGAACAUCACCCACUGCCUGUGGAAGUGGCACAGCUCCGACCCCUCUGCCCCACAGCAGAGCAGGAUAGGCCCCGGCCCCCAGUGUGCUCCAGUCCAGCUCAGCAGUGCCUGCAGAGCCCCCAGCACUGCCCCUGCUCAGCUCAGCUCAUGUUGUGUCACACAGCGUAGGUGUGAGUGCUGACACUUCUCCACCAGGAAUGGUUUCUAGCUUGGACCAACAGAAUGAGUUCUGUUCAUUUGUAGCCUGUGAUUGCAGAAGUCACUGGCACAUAAAGCAGAGGUGGGGAAAAGUGUUCUUACACCAAAGAGAAGCUAUGUAAGUGAGCUUCUUGCAGCAUGUCUGCUUCCUUUUAUUAGAGUAUUUACUAUUAACUUUAUCCCCCAGUGGCCAAUUACUGUUCUUUUUAUUUCUUUUUAUUGUGAGACUCAGAGGAUGCUGCGAACAAACCUCUUCUGAUAUUCCUCAGCAAUUACUGCUGUGGUUAUACCUCUCUCUUCUCCACUCUGAGUGCCAGCACAGCCCCACAGAAUGUCUGCAUGUCUGCAUCCCAGCAUUAACCCCACCUCAGCCUGCCCUCCCUUCAGCUGGGUUUAAGCCAACAAAACUCUUGCUCCAGCUGCUGCUGCUGCACCUACUCACACCAGCCUCAAUACCAUAAAAAUGUGCUCCAGAGGGUGCUGCUGGAGAGAAGCUUUAUCCAGCACUGAUGUCAAUCCACAGGGAUCACGAUGCCCCAUUCCAAACAGAUCACCCUGAAAACCUGUCCUGGCUGCAGCAAGAAAUUUGUUGCAGUUUCACUGUUCCACAGAAGAUGAGUGGAAGUGAUGCGUUCUGGAUGCUCUCAUAGGUGACACUGCCAGUUGGGUGUUCAUUGAUCAUCAUCACUGUCAACGUUAUUAUAGGGGUGGCUCCUCUUCAGCAAUUCAGCCAGUCCAACCCACGAGGACUGCAUGAGAAAUGAAUCGCACAGGGCUGUGAGAUGCAUGUGACAGAACACUUAUCUGAGACUUGUGUUCCUGUGAAAAGCUAAACUGCAUUACACAGGAGAGCAGCAGGAGGCCACCUCGCUUUAAGUGAUACGGCUUAAAUACAGACGCCAGAAAUAAGCACAUUCAAGAGCUGGUUUGGCAAAUCCACUCUAACCUCACUCUACUCUAUAUUCAUGUAUAUAUUUUUUUAAUUCAAAUUUUGACCUUGGCUACAAUGUUUUCUGCAUAAAUACAAUGUAAAGACAUGCAUAUACAUAAAGGAAAACAUAAAGCACUGCAGCUAGCUGUUUGUCUGCUUCAGCUUGCGCUAUGGUGUUUAUUAACUGCUAUUUCCACUUCUUACUGUAUUUUCUUAGGAAAAAAAUAAUUGUUGUUAGCCAGGACUCCAACACAGAUAAAGAAGACAGUGCCCAACCUAAGGAAGCCUUGCAUAUCACCAUAGUUACCCAACAAGAUCAUGUGCUCAGUGAGUCUUCCUGCUAUUGAUGAGGCAGUGACACUGUGCAGUGAAGCACCUUGAGUUCUUAACACGUGCUUACAAACUAUUCAUGUUCAAAACAAAACAUGUGAAAAAUGAUUAAAAAAAAGAGACUUUGUAGACAUGAAAGCAUUUUCUAUUAUGAAGUAUUCAGCUUUUAAAAAGUGUCUGUAAUUUCAUGUGUUCACAGAUGGCAGGAGG
Long non-coding RNA from Gallus gallus (chicken), 4760 nucleotides. The record is from Ensembl. NCBI's taxonomy places the organism in Eukaryota, Metazoa, Chordata, Aves, Galliformes, Phasianidae.